AUUUCCAGCCACCUCUGUAAAGGUCUGUGCAUCAAGGCACAGGCCUCCUCCCAACUGCACCUCUUGCUCAACUCUGCUGUUCUUCCCCUUGAACAGAAAACUGCUCCACCAUGAAUGUCACCUCUGCUGGAUCAAAGGGCAAGAAAACGAGGGAAGGGAGAUGGAGAGAGGGGGACCGUCCCUGAGCCUGGCAGGAAAGGGGAUGCAGAGCCCCUGGCAAGACAAGGGUGACCUGGGGAUGCUGGUGCAGCUUUUACCAGUUUGCCUGGCAUGGACUUCAGAGGGGACUGCAGCUCCUGUGUUUGGAGACAGGAUAGAGACUUGGGUCCUGACUUGGUACAGUUGCUCACAUGUUCUUAUUAGCUAUUCUGAGUUAUCUUGAAGUAAAUGAUAUUUCUCAUUAAACUUCAACCAUAUUUUGAGACAGUUUCAGAAUUAAAACAUGUAAUCUGUACAUAAAAAGGUUCAUUAAGGACCUAAGGUGACUGGAAAAGUCAUGAAAAUACGAGUAUCAUCUGAGUCCUGAGUCUGUCCUGUUCUUCCACAGAGACAUUUGCUAUGAAGACUUUUAUGUCAAAUGCAAAAGCUGCAUAUUUGUAUUCAAGGAGUGAUAAAGGUUUGCAUGUUAUACAUAUCUGUAGGAACAUAAAACCAACACAUUCUGAUAACUUGGGUUAUAGCUGAGGUCUGGGAGCACAGCAUGAGAAAAGAAAUGGGAAUAGAUCUCAAUGAGGCAGUACCCGGAGCAGUUUAAAACAGGUAAAAUAGAUCUACAGCAAUAUAUCUGACUAGUUAUCCUCUGCAUUACACCCAUGGAAGUUAACUGCAAGUUACUUACCCUCUAGGGUCCUUUCAUAUUGCUAAAGUGAUGGGAAAAGGCCUCUGUGUUCCUGCAAACCAGGCUAUAAGUGAACAGCAAUGGAGAGACCUCCAUCAAACUGGAAUAAGUUUCAGUUCAUUCAGUCUAAAGGGAGAGCGUAGAGUUUAAUUAACCUAAUAGCUGUCAAGAGCUCAGAGAGCUGCAAGCUAAUGGUGCUGGCUGCAUAACUGCAGAGCACAGUACUGCACAGUACAAGGAAGCCCUGCCCCACUGAAGACUGGCAUAGAGCAAAAAGACCUGUGCAAGAAAUUCCCCUACCCUCCUG
This 1145-nucleotide long non-coding RNA is filed under the name Struthio camelus australis. RNAcentral describes it as "lncRNA (ENSSCUG00000011208.1)". Lineage: Eukaryota; Metazoa; Chordata; Aves; Struthioniformes; Struthionidae. The record is from RNAcentral.